Molecule: ribosomal RNA, 497 nt
Filed under: uncultured bacterium
Lineage: Bacteria
Description: partial 16S ribosomal RNA
Rfam family: Bacterial small subunit ribosomal RNA
Source: RNAcentral
GAUGAACGCUGGCGGCGUGCCUAAUACAUGCAAGUCGAGCGAACGGACGAGAAGCUUGCUUCUCUGAUGUUAGCGGCGGACGGGUGAGUAACACGUGGAUAACCUACCUAUAAGACUGGGAUAACUUCGGGAAACCGGAGCUAAUACCGGAUAAUAUUUUGAACCGCAUGGUUCAAAAGUGAAAGACGGUCUUGCUGUCACUUAUAGAUGGAUCCGCGCUGCAUUAGCUAGUUGGUAAAGUAACGGCUUACCAAGGCAACGAUGCAUAGCCGACCUGAGAGGGUGAUCGGCCACACUGGAACUGAGACACGGUCCAGACUCCUACGGGAGGCAGCAGUAGGGAAUCUUCCGCAAUGGGCGAAAGCCUGACGGAGCAACGCCGCGUGAGUGAUGAAGGUCUUCGGAUCGUAAAACUCUGUUAUUAGGGAAGAACAUAUGUGUAAGUAACUGUGCACAUCUUGACGGUACCUAAUCAGAAAGCCACGGCUAGCUACGUG